AUACGUAGGGGGCGAGCGUUGUCCGGAAUGAUUGGGCGUAAAGGGCGCGUAGGCGGCUUUGCAAGUCAGUAGUGGAAGUCCAUUUUUCAAGGAUGGAGGUGCUACAGAAACUGCGGAGCUUGAGUGCAGGAGAGGUUAUCGGAAUUCCCGGUGUAGCGGUGAAAUGCGUAGAGAUCGGGAGGAACACCAGUGGCGAAGGCGGGUAACUGGACUGCAACUGACGCUGAGGCGCGAAAGUGUGGGGAGCAAACAGGAUUAGAUACCCUGGUAGUCCACACUGUAAACGAUGAAUGCUAGGUGUAGGAGGUAUCGACCCCUUCUGUGCCGCAGUAAACACAGUAAGCAUUCCGCCUGGGGAGUACGGUCGCAAGAUUAAAACUUAAAUGAAUUGACGGGG
Molecule: ribosomal RNA, 397 nt
Filed under: uncultured bacterium
Lineage: Bacteria
Description: partial 16S ribosomal RNA
Rfam family: Bacterial small subunit ribosomal RNA
Source: RNAcentral